Molecule: non-coding RNA, 31 nt
Filed under: Homo sapiens (human)
Lineage: Eukaryota; Metazoa; Chordata; Mammalia; Primates; Hominidae
Source: RNAcentral
UCCACCUGGGACUCUGCUGUGCUGCGGGCUU